AUUGAACGCUGGCGGAAUGCUUUACACAUGCAAGACGACCGGCAGCACGGACCUCGGUCUGGUGGCGAGUGGCGAACGGGUGAGUAAUGUAUCGGAACGUGCCCAGACGUGGGGGAUCACGUAGUGAAAAUUACGCUAAUACCGCAUACGAUCUAUGGAUGAAAGCGGGGGAUCGCAAGACAUCGCGCGAUUGGAGCGGCCGAUAUCAGAGUAGGUAGUUGGUGGGGUAAAGGCCCACCAAGCCAACGAUCUGUAGCUGGUCUGAGAGGACGACAGGCCGCACUGGAACUGAGGCGCCGUCCAUACUGCAACGGGACGCAACAGUGGGGAAUUUAGGGCAAUGGGCGAAAGCCUGAUCCAGCCAUUCCGCGGGCAGGAUGAAAGCCCUCGGGUUGUAAACUGCUUGUGUACAGAACGAAAAGGUUUCUACUAAGACUGGGAGCUCAUGACUGUACUGUAAGAAUAAGCACCGGCUAACUACGUGCCAGCAGCCGCAGUAA
Molecule: ribosomal RNA, 500 nt
Filed under: uncultured bacterium
Lineage: Bacteria
Description: partial 16S ribosomal RNA
Rfam family: Bacterial small subunit ribosomal RNA
Source: RNAcentral